RNAcentral lists this ribosomal RNA (390 nucleotides) under uncultured bacterium. Its description in RNAcentral is "bacterial SSU rRNA". It matches the Rfam family "Bacterial small subunit ribosomal RNA", at positions 30 to 420 of the family's 1533-position model. The record is from RNAcentral.
AUUGAACGCUGGCGGCAUGCCUUACACAUGCAAGUCGAACGGCAGCACGGGAGCAAUCCUGGUGGCGAGUGGCGAACGGGUGAGUAAUAUAUCGGAACGUGCCCAGUCGUGGGGAUAACGUAGCGAAAGCUACGCUAAUACCGCAUACGAUCUAUGGAUGAAAGCGGGGGAUCGCAAGACCUCGCGCGAUUGGAGCGGCCGAUAUCAGAUUAGGUAGUUGGUGAGGUAAAGGCUCACCAAGCCGACGAUCUGUAGCUGGUCUGAGAGGACGACCAGCCACACUGGGACUGAGACACGGCCCAGACUCCUACGGGAGGCAGCAGUGGGGAAUUUUGGGACAAUGGGCGAAAGCCUGAUCCAGCAAUGCCGCGUGAGUGAUGAAGGCCUCGG